RNAcentral lists this ribosomal RNA (253 nucleotides) under uncultured bacterium. RNAcentral describes it as "partial 16S ribosomal RNA". It matches the Rfam family "Bacterial small subunit ribosomal RNA", at positions 524 to 776 of the family's 1533-position model. The record is from RNAcentral.
UACAGAGGGUGCGAGCGUUAAUCGGAAUUACUGGGCGUAAAGGGUGCGUAGGUGGUUUGUUAAGUUAGAUGUGAAAGUCCUGGGCUUAACCUGGGGACUGCGUCUAAUACUGAUAGACUAGAGUACUGUAGAGGAAAGUGGAAUUUCCGGUGUAGCGGUGAAAUGCGUAGAUAUCGGAAGGAACAUCAGUGGCGAAGGCGACUUUCUGGACAGAUACUGACACUGAGGCACGAAAGCAUGGGGAGCAAACAGG